RNAcentral lists this ribosomal RNA (440 nucleotides) under uncultured bacterium. Its description in RNAcentral is "partial 16S ribosomal RNA". It matches the Rfam family "Bacterial small subunit ribosomal RNA", at positions 338 to 795 of the family's 1533-position model. The record is from RNAcentral.
CCUACGGGAGGCAGCAGUGGGGAAUAUUGCACAAUGGGGGAAACCCUGAUGCAGCGACGCCGCGUGAGUGAAGAAGUAAUUCGGUAUGUAAAGCUCUAUCAGCAGGGAAGAAAAUGACGGUACCUGAGUAAGAAGCCCCGGCUAACUACGUGCCAGCAGCCGCGGUAAUACGGCGGGGGCAAGCGUUAUCCGGAUUUACUGGGUGUAAAGGGAGCGGAGACGGCAGUGCAAGUCUGGAGUGAAAGGCGGGGGCUCAACCCCCGGACUGCUCUGGAAACUGUACGGCUGGAGUGCAGGAGAGGUAAGUGGAAUUCCUAGUGUAGCGGUGAAAUGCGUAGAUAUUAGGAGGAACACCAGUGGCGAAGGCGGCUUACUGGACUGUAACUGACGUUGAGGCUCGAAAGCGUGGGGAGCAAACAGGAUUAGAUACCCGGGUAGUC